AGUGAACGCUGGCGGUAGGCCUAACACAUGCAAGUCGAACGGCAGCACAGUAAGAGCUUGCUCUUACGGGUGGCGAGUGGCGGACGGGUGAGGAAUACAUCGGAAUCUACUUGUUCGUGGGGGAUAACGUAGGGAAACUUACGCUAAUACCGCAUACGACCUACGGGUGAAAGCAGGGGAUCUUCGGACCUUGCGCGAUUGAAUGAGCCGAUGUCGGAUUAGCUAGUUGGCGGGGUAAAGGCCCACCAAGGCGACGAUCCGUAGCUGGUCUGAGAGGAUCAUCAGCCACACUGGAACUGAGACACGGCCCAGACUCCUACGGGAGGCAGCAGUGGGGAAUAUUGGACAAUGGGCGCAAGCCUGAUCCAGCCAUACCGCGUGGGUGAAGAAGGCCUUCGGGUUGUAAAGCCCUUUUGUUGGGAAAGAAAAGCAGCAGGUUAAUACCCCGCUGUUCUGACGGUACCCAAAGAAUAAGCACCGGCUAACUUCGUG
Molecule: ribosomal RNA, 492 nt
Filed under: uncultured bacterium
Lineage: Bacteria
Description: partial 16S ribosomal RNA
Rfam family: Bacterial small subunit ribosomal RNA
Source: RNAcentral